UACAGGGGGUGCAAACGUUGCUCGGAAUUAUUGGGCGUAAAGCGCACGUAGGCGGUUUGUUAUGUCGGAUGUGAAAGCCCUUGGCUCAACUGAGGAAGUGCAUCCGAAACUGGCAAGCUAGAGUAUGUAAGAGGGUCGCGGAAUUCCUGGUGUAGCGGUGAAAUGCGCAGAUAUCAGGAGGAACACCGGUGGCGAAGGCGGAUCUCUGGGCCUUACCUGACGCUGAGGCGCGAAAGCUAGGGGAGCGAACAGG
RNAcentral lists this ribosomal RNA (253 nucleotides) under uncultured bacterium. RNAcentral describes it as "partial 16S ribosomal RNA". It matches the Rfam family "Bacterial small subunit ribosomal RNA", at positions 524 to 776 of the family's 1533-position model. The record is from RNAcentral.